GUGAAUCAUCGAAUUUUUGAACGCAAAUUGCGCCUUUUUCGGAAGGCAUGUCUGUUGGAGGGCACCAUUUAAGAAAUAAGGUGCAGCGUUUUUUGUUGCACACGUUGAUGAGCUUUCCAAGAAUUUUAAAUUUUUGGUGGCGCAUAAUGAACAGCGGGAAAGUUUUGUUCAGUUCGAGAGUAGUAAAAUCUUUGCUUGGGUUGUGAAAAGAAUAAUCGCGCAAUGGGGGGGGCAAUUGAUUUUUAUCCCUGCCCCAAUGCCACUCUUUAUCA
RNAcentral lists this unclassified non-coding RNA (272 nucleotides) under Paraglomerales sp. Its description in RNAcentral is "partial contains 5.8S ribosomal RNA and internal transcribed spacer 2". The stretch from base 1 to 65 matches the Rfam family "5.8S ribosomal RNA", at positions 84 to 154 of the family's 154-position model. The record is from RNAcentral. Lineage: Eukaryota; Fungi; Glomeromycota; Glomeromycetes; Paraglomerales.